Molecule: non-coding RNA, 172 nt
Filed under: Desulfomicrobium baculatum
Lineage: Bacteria; Pseudomonadati; Thermodesulfobacteriota; Desulfovibrionia; Desulfovibrionales; Desulfomicrobiaceae
Source: RNAcentral
UGUCCUAAUACUUAACCUGUUCUGCGAAACUACUUCAGGAGCAAGGGAACCCGGUGCGAGUCCGGGGCGGUCCCGCCACUGUAACCCCGAUUUUGCGUGCCCGAGCCGAUCCCCUUUGGGAGAAGCCGCAUGCGGGGCAAGCCAGAAAACCCGCCUGAAGCAAUUCUCUUAA